RNAcentral lists this ribosomal RNA (497 nucleotides) under uncultured bacterium. Its description in RNAcentral is "partial 16S ribosomal RNA". It matches the Rfam family "Bacterial small subunit ribosomal RNA", at positions 28 to 507 of the family's 1533-position model. The record is from RNAcentral.
GAUGAACGCUGGCGGCGUGCCUAAUACAUGCAAGUCGAGCGCACGGACGAGAAGCUUGCUUCUCUGAUGUUAGCGGCGGACGGGUGAGUAACACGUGGAUAACCUACCUAUAAGACUGGGAUAACUUCGGGAAACCGGAGCUAAUACCGGAUGAUAUUUUGAACCGCAUGGUUCAAAAGUGAAAGACGGUCUUGCUGUCACUUAUAGAUGGAUCCGCGCUGCAUUAGCUAGUUGGUAAGGUAACGGCUUACCAAGGCAACGAUGCAUAGCCGACCUGAGAGGGGGAUCGGCCACACUGGAACGGAGACACGGUCCAGACUCCUACGGGAGGCAGCAGUAGGGAAUCUUCCGAAAUGGGCGAAAGCCUGACGGAGCAACGCCGCGUGAGUGAUGAAGGUUUUCGGAUCGUAAAACUCUGUUAUUAGGGAAGAACAUAUGUGUAAGUAACUGUGCACAUCUUGACGGUACCUAAUCAGAAAGCCACGGCUAACUACGUG